AACGAACGCUGGCGGCGUGGAUUAGGCAUGCAAGUCGAACGAGAAGUCUUUGUUUUGAUCCUUCGGGUGAGAAAUAGAGAUCAAAAGUGGCGAAAGGGUGAGUAAUGCAUGGGUAACUUACCUUUAAGUUGGGGAUAACCCUGCGAAAGCGGGGGUAAUACCGAAUGUGGUCGUCCCGAUGCGUCGGGAUUGUCUAAAGGUGGGGAUCCUUCGGGACCUACCGCUUAGAGAUGGGCUCAUGUCCUAUCAGCUUGUUGGUGAGGUAAAGGCUCACAAAGGCUAAGACGGGUAGCUGGUCUGAGAGGAUGGUCAGCCACACUGGGACUGAGACACUGCCCAGACUCCUACGGGAGGCUGCAGUCGAGAAUCAUUCGCAAUGCGCGAAAGCGUGACGAUGCGACGCCGCGUGGAGGAUGAAGGCCUUCGGGUUGUAAACUCCUGUCAUGGGGGAACAAUGGCCCCGAUACGAAUAGAAUCGGGGAAGUGAUAGUACCCCAAGAGGAAGCCACGGCUAACUCUGUGCCAGCAGCCGCGGUAAUACAGAGGUGGCAAGCGUUGUUCGGAUUUACUGGGCGUAAAGGGUGCGUAGGCGGUUUUAUAUGUCGGAUGUGAAAGCUCAC
This 620-nucleotide ribosomal RNA is filed under the name uncultured Lentisphaerota bacterium. RNAcentral's name for it is "bacterial SSU rRNA". It matches the Rfam family "Bacterial small subunit ribosomal RNA", at positions 28 to 605 of the family's 1533-position model. Lineage: Bacteria; Pseudomonadati; Lentisphaerota. The record is from RNAcentral.